CCUCUCCGAAAUUUAUAAGCCUCCUGAUGGUCGGCUGACCAAGGAGACGCAAAUCGGAGAGGGCGGCACUGGAGCCGUGUUCAUGGGCCAUCACCAUCGCAGAGGUAAGGUAGCCGUCAAGAUGGCCAACAUCACUUGGGUAAGGUUUCUUUAUAGUUCCUUUCUCCAUAUCAUCCCUAUUGUGUGGCUGCCUAUGUGAGCUAAAGGGUUUCUAUUAUUCCUCUCCAGGAUGAGGAGUCAGUCUGCCGAGAGGUAAACUUUCUCCUGAAGUUCAGCAGGCACAGGAACAUCGCCUCUUACUAUGGAGCUUAUUACCACCCUGCUCCAAACAAGGAGUCAUCGGAGUAUCUGGAAGUAAGAAAUUGUUUGUUGCAUCACAUUCAUCCCUUAUGUGCCAAAGAGACCUCCAUUGGAGGCGAUAAAAUACAUACAUGGCCUGAAAUCAUUCUUUCCUAUUGCAGCUUGUCCUUGAGUACUGCAGCGGCGGCUCCCUGUACGACUUGAUCAACAGCAGCAAAGGCCAAUCCCUGAAGGAGACCUGGAUUGGCUUUGUCUGCAGGGAGGUAUUGAAGGUAAACUUGGAUUAACCCCAUGUGUCUUUGUUGGGAAUAAUUAGCUAAAUGUCUGUUAUAUUCUUAUAACCUACAUCUCAAUCUCCCCAGGCUCUCAACCACGUUCACCACCAUCGGGCC
Long non-coding RNA from Xenopus tropicalis (tropical clawed frog), 692 nucleotides. RefSeq lists it as uncharacterized. The record is from RefSeq and is a predicted model, not a curated record. NCBI's taxonomy places the organism in Eukaryota, Metazoa, Chordata, Amphibia, Anura, Pipidae. The transcript is spliced from 3 exons.